Molecule: long non-coding RNA, 209 nt
Organism: Arabidopsis thaliana (thale cress)
Lineage: Eukaryota; Viridiplantae; Streptophyta; Magnoliopsida; Brassicales; Brassicaceae
Product: other RNA
Exons: 1
Source: RefSeq
GUAUACACAUUUCUUUGCGAUAUUAGUGGCCACAAAAUUCCCAAUUAUGCUCGAAGAUAGAAGUUAUAAAUUAGAAAACUUAGUGAGGUACAUGUCGACCCACACUAUAUAUUCUUAACUUUUUUAAAAACGUUAUUCUUGUCUCGUUACUUUCAAUUGCUUUUCUGCUCCCUCCAACUAUUUUUAGUGGGUUUGUUCGAUAUUAUGUU